Molecule: non-coding RNA, 287 nt
Organism: Paramuricea clavata
Lineage: Eukaryota; Metazoa; Cnidaria; Anthozoa; Malacalcyonacea; Plexauridae
Source: the annotation of a GenBank genome assembly
CUUAAUUUGCAUGCUGUGCCAGUGUAAUAAAGUAGUAUAUAAAUGGAGAUUGCACGUUAUCCAUGCACGUAUAUAUCCUGUAUGUCUGUUAUGACUACAGUAUAUCAAGAAAUGUUGGAUAAAUCAUAAUGUCAAUUUACGUUUCCAGACGCUGAUGAAAAAUCCUGAGAUUUCGAAGAUAAGAGUCUAUUAGUAACAGAAUAUGGUACGAGUCCCGAGUCCGUUUUACGUAUAGAUGUGGAAGAAUCGGACGUAUCCAAUAGCAGGAAGCGAACAGCCAAAUAGAU